GAUGAACGCUGGCGGCGUGCUUAACACAUGCAAGUCGAACGAUGAAGCCCAGCUUGCUGGGUGGAUUAGUGGCGAACGGGUGAGUAACACGUGAGUAACCUGCCCUUAACUCUGGGAUAAGCCUGGGAAACUGGGUCUAAUACCGGAUAGGAGCGUCCACCGCAUGGUGGGUGUUGGAAAGAUUUAUCGGUUUUGGAUGGACUCGCGGCCUAUCAGCUUGUUGGUGAGGUAAUGGCUCACCAAGGCGACGACGGGUAGCCGGCCUGAGAGAGUGACCGGCCACACUGGGACUGAGACACGGCCCAGACUCCUACGGGAGGCAGCAGUGGGGAAUAUUGCACAAUGGGCGCAAGCCUGAUGCAGCGACGCCGCGUGAGGGAUGACGGCCUUCGGGUUGUAAACCUCUUUCAGUAGGGAAGAAGCGAAAGUGACGGUACCUGCAGAAGAAGCACCGGCUAACUACGUG
Molecule: ribosomal RNA, 466 nt
Filed under: uncultured bacterium
Lineage: Bacteria
Description: partial 16S ribosomal RNA
Rfam family: Bacterial small subunit ribosomal RNA
Source: RNAcentral